UUCCAGCUGAUGAGUCUCAAAUAGGACGAGACGAGUGUCCUGGAU
Non-coding RNA from Schistosoma mansoni, 45 nucleotides. The record is from Rfam. Lineage: Eukaryota; Metazoa; Platyhelminthes; Trematoda; Strigeidida; Schistosomatidae.